Molecule: long non-coding RNA, 210 nt
Filed under: Mytilus galloprovincialis (Mediterranean mussel)
Lineage: Eukaryota; Metazoa; Mollusca; Bivalvia; Mytilida; Mytilidae
Source: RNAcentral
AUCGCAUUAGCCUAGAGUAAUACCAUAAGGCAACCGUGACAAUGAAGAUUUUGAAGUUAUUUGAAAGUCAAACAUUUCCCUCAACAGCUCUCUGAUAAUAUUUCGUAGAUAUUAAAUUAUUGAAAUGCAAUAAAUUUUCUAUAAAUAGGAAAAUACAAUGAUAUAUUUGAAUGUUUAUGUCAUUAUGACUUGUUAAAAAAAGAAAUUGGC